AUGCUCGCGCCAGUGCUAGGCGCCGUCGGAUGUGGACGCGGAAGCGCGGGACUUGCACGCCCUACUCUACCCUGCUCCUUCCAAUCCGGCCCUGAAGUGCUCGAGGAGGCGCUCCAGCUCGGCAUGCUCACCGGUGACGCCGGGUUCCUCCAUCCUCCUGAUUCCUUCGACGUCGCCAACAUGAGCCUCUCCACCCUCUCCGCGUGA
RNAcentral lists this ribosomal RNA (207 nucleotides) under Triticum aestivum (bread wheat). RNAcentral describes it as "partial small subunit ribosomal RNA". The record is from RNAcentral. Lineage: Eukaryota; Viridiplantae; Streptophyta; Magnoliopsida; Poales; Poaceae.